GACGGGAGCUCUGCUCAGGCUUCAACAUGGCGGGCCGUUUCGGUUGACUUCGCCUGUGGAAACCGAAUUCCCCCUCCAUGGUUUCCCCAGGAUAUGAGUUGGGGGCCUCACCUCGCCUAUAAGGGUCAGGCGAGCUUUCUGGAUGCUCGAGGGACCUUUCGGCCUGCGCAGCCGGAGCAGCUUGUCCCAAUGCCCUGCCAUUUCUGUGAGGGCCCACGAGGCCUGGAGGAGCCUCGGAGCCCCCGCAGGCCCUCGCGUCACUGCCUCAAGAGGGUGCUCGGAGCCCUGCUCGGGAGCUGGUCCCCAACGAGGUGUGGAACCCCUUCUUGCUGGAACUCCACGGAGAGAGUGUCCUGCUAGGACCUGCUUCCAGAAGAGUUGAUCCCAGCUGUGAAAGUGCAUGAUGCCUUCAGCGAAGCAGGCAGGAAAGGCUCAAGUGAUCCUCCUGUAUCACCCUGGGUAUCAAGGCCAUUCAAUGGAAAAGAACAGUCUCUUCAGCAAGUGGUGCUGGAACAACUGGAUAUCCACAUACAAAUGAAUGAAGUUAGAUCUCUUCCUCACAUCAUACAGAAAAAUCAACCUCAAAUGGAAGAAAUAUCUAAAUGAAGCCGAACACUUGAUAAAAAGUUCAUCAGCGUAAAUAAGAAGAAUCCCCUCCAUUACAUACAAAAGAAAAAAUAACUGGAGAGAUCGUCUCUGCUCUAAG
RNAcentral lists this long non-coding RNA (706 nucleotides) under Pan troglodytes (chimpanzee). RNAcentral describes it as "lincRNA". The record is from RNAcentral. Lineage: Eukaryota; Metazoa; Chordata; Mammalia; Primates; Hominidae.